GAGUUUGAUCCUGGCUCAGGAUUAACGCUGGCGGCAUGCCUAACACAUGCAAGUCGACCGCUGUGCUUGCACAGAGGGGCGAACGGGUGAGUAACACGUAUCUAACCUACCUUUUAGUCUGGAAUAACUGUGGGAAACUGCAGCUAAUGCCGGAUAGAAGUCCAUUGGAAUCACUGGAGGACCAAAGAUCCGUUUGGAUCGCUAUUAGAUGGGGAUGCGGCGUAUUAGUUAGUUGGUGAGGUAAUGGCUCACCAAGACGAUGAUACGUAGCCGGCCUGAGAGGGUGAACGGCCACACUGGAACUGAGACACGGUCCAGACUCCUACGGGGGGCAGCAGUAGGGAAUCUUCCACAAUGGGCGAAAGCCUGAUGGAGCAAUGCCGCGUGAGUGAUGAAGGUCUUCGGAUCGUAAAGCUCUGUUGUAAGGGAAGAACGGUAUAUAUAGGAAAUGAUAUAUGCGUGACGGUACCUUACCAGAAAGCCACGGCUAACUACGUGCCAGCAGCCGCGGUAAUACGUAGGUGGCAAGCGUUAUCCGGAUUUACUGGGCGUAAAGAGGGAGCAGGUGGUUCUGUAAGCCAGAGGUUAAAGACCGGAGCUCAACUCCGUGUAUGCCUUUGAAACUACAGGACUAGAGAAUAAGAGAGGUUAGUGGAAUUUCAUGUGUAGCGGUGGAAUGCGUAGAUAUAUGAAGGAACACCAGUGGCGAAGACGACUAACUGGCUUAUUUCUGACACUCAGUCCCGAAAGCGUGGGUAGCAAAUAGGAUUAGAUACCCUAGUAGUCCACGCCGUAACGAUGAGUAUUAGGUGUCGGGGUUUCUCGGUGCACAGCUACGCAUAAAUACUCCGCCUGGGANUAUGCUCGCANAGUGAACUCAAGAAUGACGNNGG
Molecule: ribosomal RNA, 893 nt
Filed under: uncultured bacterium
Lineage: Bacteria
Description: bacterial SSU rRNA
Rfam family: Bacterial small subunit ribosomal RNA
Source: RNAcentral